RNAcentral lists this ribosomal RNA (346 nucleotides) under uncultured bacterium. Its description in RNAcentral is "partial 16S ribosomal RNA". It matches the Rfam family "Bacterial small subunit ribosomal RNA", at positions 338 to 676 of the family's 1533-position model. The record is from RNAcentral.
CCUACGGGUGGCAGCAGUGGGGAAUAUUGCGCAAUGGGCGAAAGCCUGACGCAGCGACGCCGCGUGAGGGAUGAAGGUCUUCGGAUCGUAAACCUCUGUCAGCAGGGAAGAACGGUCACGGUGCUAAUCAGCAGUGAAUGGACGGUACCGGCAAAGGAAGCACCGGCUACCUCCGUGCCAGCAGCCGCGGUAAUACGGAGGGUGCGAGCGUUAAUCGGAAUUACGGGGCGGAAAGCGCUCGUAGGCGGUAUGUCACGUCAAGGGUGAAAUCCCCGCGCUCAACGUUGGAACUGCCUUUGAAACUGGCACCCUGGAGUUUGUGCGACGCUCGUGGCUUUCCAGGUGU